AUGCAUGUAUUGACCUCUCCAACAGCAACUACCCGCUCUGCAGAGAUACCGGGGCACAUCCUCAGGAGCUGGUCUGUUGUACACCAAGAGAGGACCUGUCCCAGGAUAUUUUGGGAAGCGGGUGAUCAGGUGAUCAGGAAAGACGUCCAUAAAUGUAUUCUCAUACAAGAGCCCAGUAGAAAAAAACAGAGGAAGAAGAGAGAAAGACCCAGGAACAUAGAGCCUACCUUCAGUACAGUAUGCCUAUCUACAACUGUCCUUCUUCUCACGGUUCAAAAAAGAUGGAAAAGCCCCCAGGAAAAUGCUUUCCUGGGAAGUACAUUAUUCUAUCCUGAAUUGUGAUUAUUUUUCCAAAAUUAACAAAAUGAAUUAUAUUUCUUGGCCUUCUAGAACAUUCUGCAGACCCAUCAAGGAGCAGACUGGACUGGAACAUCUCUGCAUUACUUUUCACAUCAUGCUUACCAAUUAAUGGCUUUGCAACUGCAUUCCUGGAACUUGACUGGCUCAUCAGUAUUUAAUUGAUAGGAAACACAGAUGGAAAAUCAUGCCAAAGAACCUUCCCAUUCAUGAAAGAGAUCUAUACCUCUCUAAUAGGACAAUGGUUUUGUUAUCAUCCAAAAGCCCAAGAGUCAUUCAGCCUUCCUGUGCUGAAAAGUGACAAUUUUCUUGAACUCAUCUAAGAUAUUUAAAAUAUUGAAGCUGUUGAAAAAGAGUUCCAUUGGUUCUACUGAAAGACUAGAGAAUACAAAGCAUUUACAGUGAGUAUCACUGAACUGGAGGCUUAUUAAGCCAGACUCUAAUUAAUGUAACUAUCUCAGCAGAAAAUUAUUCACUCUUUCUUUUUAUAGUACCAAAUCAUCUAUUUAUCACAGUACCCCUUAAUAACUUCCAUGAAUAAGGAAUACAAACAUUUCCUUCCUAUAGCCUACUUCCCCAUGAAACACCUCUUUCUCCUCUCCAAAAAAAAGGAAAAAGGAAAAAAGGAAAAUCAAAUAAACAAAACCACAAAAUAAACUCUACA
This 1021-nucleotide long non-coding RNA is filed under the name Cyanistes caeruleus (blue tit). RNAcentral's name for it is "lncRNA (ENSCCEG00000008895.1)". The record is from RNAcentral. Lineage: Eukaryota; Metazoa; Chordata; Aves; Passeriformes; Paridae.